UCAGCUCUCUUUGCCUUUUGGCUUAGAUCAAGUGUAGUAUCUGUUCUUUUCAGUUUAAUCUCUGAAACGUGGCUACGGCCACCUUCAAGAUUAUUCUUAUUUUUGGCCGUCGCCUGUGGGCCGCUGGGCUUGCUCAUGUCCACGGGCACCGUGUCGCCGGUAUUGCACUGUCUCCGGCUGACGCGAGCAUAG
RNAcentral lists this small nuclear RNA (192 nucleotides) under Acidomyces richmondensis BFW. Its description in RNAcentral is "U2 spliceosomal RNA". It matches the Rfam family "U2 spliceosomal RNA". From Rfam's summary of the family: U2 is a small nuclear RNA (snRNA) component of the spliceosome (involved in pre-mRNA splicing). The record is from Rfam by way of RNAcentral. Lineage: Eukaryota; Fungi; Ascomycota; Dothideomycetes; Mycosphaerellales; Teratosphaeriaceae.